Molecule: long non-coding RNA, 221 nt
Organism: Uloborus diversus
Lineage: Eukaryota; Metazoa; Arthropoda; Arachnida; Araneae; Uloboridae
Exons: 3
Source: RefSeq, a predicted model, not a curated record
UCGCCUAGAAGAUGGUCCGUGAGAAAAUGACCUCCAAAAGAAGCAUUCGAUCUCUUGGGUGCCCACAGAUCAUUGUUGUUACUUAUGAUUCCGUCAUCAUUUUGCUUGCAUUUUGCUAGUGAGCUAUCAAAAAAAGGGAUCGCUAUUUGUGUAAUGACAAAAUGCUUUGCUAGCAUCUUCUGAAUGCAAAUGUUUCUACAGUGGAAAGAAGAGAACUGCCG